RNAcentral lists this ribosomal RNA (861 nucleotides) under Triticum aestivum (bread wheat). Its description in RNAcentral is "partial small subunit ribosomal RNA". The record is from RNAcentral. Lineage: Eukaryota; Viridiplantae; Streptophyta; Magnoliopsida; Poales; Poaceae.
AUGGCAAAGCAUCCCAAUAGGACUCCACACACAUUUCGGUCGCUUCAAGGGCGUUGGGAGAAUAUCAAAUCAAUGUGCGGCCGUUGGGCAGCUUGCUUGGAGCAAGUACGCAAUGCACCUCCAAGUGGCACCAUGGACAUUUUGUAGGACAAGAUUGCUCAACAUAGAUACAAGGACAUGGAAGCUUCGGAAGGCAAAUUCUUCAAACUAGAGCAUUGUUGGGAGUUGCUCCAAAAGUGCGAGAAGUGGAAGUUGAUCGACAAAGAGUCCCCACCAAAGAGAGGCUCACUGACAAACAUGGAUGAAGAUGAGGAUGAUGAUGGCCCAAGAAAUUUGCACAAGCCCGAUGGCGACAAGAAGACCAAGGAGAAGAUGAAGAGAGAGCAAGAAGCAUCGAGCUUGAGGGAGAAGAUUGAUGCCAUGGUGCAAUCAAACGAGUUGAUGUUGUUGAAGUCGUUGGAGAUCGAGAAAGAGUUGGCUGAGAAGAAGGCAAAGGAGAAGCAAGAAAAGUGGCAAUUGCUCAAAGAAGAGGGGCUGCGCAAAGCUGCCAUUGAGGAGAGAAGAGCACGCGCUACAGAAAACAAAGCCAUGUCCAAGCUGCUCGCCGAAGAGAACAAGAUCAUGUCAAUGAACCGCAAUGACAUGGACGAUCUCACCAGAACAUGGCAUGAUGUGGCAAGGAGAGAAAUAUUGAAGAGGAGAAUGGUUGCGUCGGCCGGUGCGUGCUACAGUUCCGGAGAUGUUUUCUCCGCUCCAUAUGGUGGCAAUGUUGAUGAUUUCGGUGCGGGAGUUGGAACAAGUGCCGGAGGUGGAUUCGGUGGUGGCGAUGAACUUCAAGAUGGACUCGAUGGCGCGGAGUAA